AAGGGAGACCUAAUUCCGGUAGGAGACGAAAAAAAAGUAGUCCCAACCAAGAAUCAAUCCCAAAAGGUCGAAGCGAGGCAAGAUUGGCUUUCAAACUAGGUUCUGGGUUCAAACAAGACCUGAAUCAGGAACAAGGGCUAUUAGCUCAGGUGGUUAGAGCGCACCCCUGAUAAGGGUGAGGUCCCUGGUUCGAGUCCAGGAUGGCCCACCUGCACAGGUGGCAAAAACAAAGAAGCGAGGAAUCAGCACCUUAUCUUACUCAUAUAGUAAGAGAGAAUGCUGGCUCUGAGUAAAGAGUCCAGAGGAACCUUGAAAACUGCAUAGAGCUAGGUGAAAAAGCCAAAAAAGAAGACCGCAA
This 358-nucleotide transfer RNA is filed under the name Microcystis aeruginosa. The stretch from base 135 to 208 matches the Rfam family "tRNA". The record is from RNAcentral. Lineage: Bacteria; Bacillati; Cyanobacteriota; Cyanophyceae; Chroococcales; Microcystaceae.